CCUACGGGGGGCUGCAGUGGGGAAUAUUGGGCAAUGGGCGCAAGCCUGACCCAGCAACGCCGCGUGAAGGAAGAAGGCUUUCGGGUUGUAAACUUCUUUUCUCAGGGACGAAGCAAGUGACGGUACCUGAGGAAUAAGCCACGGCUAACUACGUGCCAGCAGCCGCGGUAAUACGUAGGUGGCAAUCGUUAUCCGGAUUUACUGGGUGUAAGGGGCGUGUAGGCGGGAAAGCAAGUCAGAUGUGAAAACCAUGGGCUCAACCUGUGGCCUGCAUUUGAAACUGUUUUUCUUGAGUACUGGAGAGGCAGACGGAAUUCCUAGUGUAGCGGUGAAAUGCGUAGAUAUUAGGAGGAACACCAGUGGCGAAGGCGGUCUGCUGGACAGCAACUGACGCUGAGGCGCGAAAGCGUGGGGAGCAAACAGGAUUAGAUACCCUAGUAGUC
This 443-nucleotide ribosomal RNA is filed under the name uncultured bacterium. RNAcentral describes it as "partial 16S ribosomal RNA". It matches the Rfam family "Bacterial small subunit ribosomal RNA", at positions 338 to 795 of the family's 1533-position model. The record is from RNAcentral.